UAUUCAUGAUGUUAUUAUUAUUUUUUUUUAAAACGUUUUUUUUUUAUCGUCCCUAAUAUAAAAUAUUUGUAGAUUUUUCUUCACACACGUGAAACCUACGUGUGGACGCAAACAUUGGAUUUCUAAGCAAUGUUUAUUCGCUAUCAAGCUCGUUUACUGAGAGAGAGCUCCAAACAACAACCAAUCGACUGAUGAGCAGGGGUGCCAGUGAAAUCUGCGCGCGAGGGGGAGGACGUCAUCUAUAUUCACAUCUAUGCAAAGUUUCCCAGCAUUUCAUCUCGACACUUUCUGCCCAUGUAAACGGCUGGAGUCCCGUCCAGAGAAUCAGACAGCUGCUGGUGCUGAUGCUGGAGCAGGGAGUCUCAGCAUCCUCUUCCUCCGUCAUUAGUCGAGUUCGGGCUCUCCACCGCACCGUCGGCACCAACGCGGGAGAAAACACCGAUUUACUGGUCAACCAACUGGCUGGCUGCAAAUAAAUGGAAGGACCUAAAGAAUGAGUCAUCUUUCAUCUGCUGUUUAACAGUUUUCUGAACGCCUAGCUGCUA
This 545-nucleotide long non-coding RNA is filed under the name Carassius auratus (goldfish). Its description in RNAcentral is "lncRNA (ENSCARG00000035737.1)". Lineage: Eukaryota; Metazoa; Chordata; Actinopteri; Cypriniformes; Cyprinidae. The record is from RNAcentral.